Molecule: unclassified non-coding RNA, 381 nt
Filed under: Hevea brasiliensis (rubber tree)
Lineage: Eukaryota; Viridiplantae; Streptophyta; Magnoliopsida; Malpighiales; Euphorbiaceae
Source: RNAcentral
CAAAAUCAUUCAAAAGUUUUAUUUAGUUUUUGUCAUAUCUUAAAACUUUUGGCAGUUCAGAAGAACUAAAAAAAUUGAAGAUGUAAUUUUAAAAUUUGAUUGCUGUGAAAAUUUCAUGCUCAAGAUAAGACAUGUAAUCUUGAUUAACAAAUUGCAAUUUUGGUAUUUAUUCUAUAGAAAAUGACAAUCCUAGAAGAAUUCACCCAACCCAUUAACCAACUCUCUCAAAAAAGUUUGUUUGUUCAGAAUGAGAUUCUUUCCUGCAAUGCUAGUUUAGUAUAAACCUCUAACUUCUUUAUUCUACUUGAAAUAUGCCAUUAUCCUGGUGACACUGAUUUUCUCAUGCUAAUUUUUGUAGUGACGGGAAAAGUCACAACCAAG